Molecule: ribosomal RNA, 443 nt
Filed under: uncultured bacterium
Lineage: Bacteria
Description: partial 16S ribosomal RNA
Rfam family: Bacterial small subunit ribosomal RNA
Source: RNAcentral
CCUACGGGAGGCAGCAGUGGGGAAUAUUGGGCAAUGGGCGCAAGCCUGACCCAGCAACGCCGCGUGAAGGAAGAAGGCUUUCGGGUUGUAAACUUCUUUUCUGAGGGACGAAGAAAGUGACGGUACCUCAGGAAUAAGCCACGGCUAACUACGUGCCAGCAGCCGCGGUAAUACGUAGGUGGCAAGCGUUAUCCGGAUUUAUUGGGUGGAAAGGGCGUGUAGGCGGGAAAGCAAGUCCGAUGUGAAAACUCAGGGCACAACCCUGAGCCUGCAUUUGAAACUGUUUGUCUUGAGUUCUGGAGAGGUAAUCGGAAUUCCGUGUGUAGCGGUGAAGUGCGUAGAUAUACGGAGGAACACCAGUGGCGAAGGCGGAUUGCUGGACAGUAACUGACGCUGAGGCGCGAAAGCGUGGGGAGCAAACAGGAUUAGAUACCCUUGUAGUC